UCGGGAAUUUUGGGCAAUGGGGGAAACCCUGACCCAGCAACGCCGCGUGAAGGAUGAAGUAUUUCGGUAUGUAAACUUCGAAAGAAUAGGAAGAAUAAAUGACGGUACUAUUUAUAAGGUCCGGCUAACUACGUGCCAGCAGCCGCGGUAAUACGUAGGGACCAAGCGUUGUUCGGAUUUACUGGGCGUAAAGCGCGUGUAGGCGGGUCGUUAAGUUGGGGGUGAAAUCCCGAGGCUCAACCUCGGAACUGCCUUCAAAACUGGCGACCUGGACCUAAGUAGAGGCAAGUGGAAUUGCGAGUGUAGAGGUGAAAUUCGUAGAUAUUCGCAGGAACACCAGUGGCGAAGGCGACUUGCUGGACUUAUGGUGACGCUGAGACGCGAAAGCGUGGGGAGCAAACAGGAUUAGAUACCCAUGUAGUCCCUGAGCGGGCUGGCAAGGCGCAU
This 447-nucleotide ribosomal RNA is filed under the name uncultured bacterium. Its description in RNAcentral is "bacterial SSU rRNA". It matches the Rfam family "Bacterial small subunit ribosomal RNA", at positions 355 to 825 of the family's 1533-position model. The record is from RNAcentral.